CCCCGAGACUCCUUGUUUUGGUUAAUUUGCACAGCAGUAAGCAAAGACGCUCAGCGACGUCUAUUUUAAUGCGAUUAGGCAAGCCUCCGUUCUUCCAUCCCUGGCUUUAACAAUAAUGAUUACUUUAUUUAGAAAUCAUUAAUGUGAUUAAACAAGCCCCCAUUCUUCUAACCCUGGCUUCAGUGGGGGGCAGAGGAGGGUGACACGGGCCGAGAACGUGGGGAUGGAGGGGCACAGGCAGUUAUGCAGGGACAGGGGAGGACAUAGGGACACAGUGUGGGGACACCCAGGAGGGUGGUUGGGGACAGGGACCAUAAAUGAUGGGGCCCCUGCUGUGUCCCCAGGGCUCACCCCCUGGGAUGUGGCCCUACACCCCAACCUGCUGGCAGGGGCCCAGGGACAAGUGCUGCAAGCGCUCAGCAGCAGGGACCCCUGGGUGCAGUGGUGAGUGUGGGCAGGGCAUCCCUGUGUCACCAACUGUGGUGCCCUGUGUCACCCUGCUACCUCCAGGGUCACCCUGGGGUGCCACAGCCGGCCUGUUGGUUGCCCCGGCGCCCCCCAGUUUGCUUUGUGUUACCCUCUGGGAUCCCAUGUCACCCCUGUAAGCCUGUAUUACCCUGACUUGCCCCACAGCAUCCCUGUGGUCCCAAGCUUACACUCUGUCUCUCUCAGGAUCACCUUCUGUUAUAUCCUGAGGUCUGAGUCCCCUGGCGUGACCUAGGCCACCAUGUGCCACUGCAGAGGCUCCUGGGUAACCCCAUGCCACCCCAUGGUGCCCCCUGUGUCACCCCAGGAUCCCCUGAUGUGUUCCAUGAUAUUCUCUAGCACUGCACGGGGAACCUUGGUUCACCCCAUGCCAACCCCCAGAGUCCCUGGCAUGUCCCAUGGCAGCUUAUGUUAGGGUCCUCUGGUGUGCCCCACACCAUAUCCAGUGGUUGCCUGUCACUCUCUGGGUCAGCUGGUGUCUCUCCAGGUUCCCCACGUCACCCAGUGCCAGCCCCUAGGGUUCCUUGCCUUACUUAUGUCCCCACCAUCAAUCAUCCUUGUGACUCUAUCUCCCUCCUCGCUGUGCCUGUAACCCCUUUUGCACUACCAGAGUGUCCCCCAGGGUCACAGUGCUACCUGCAGGUGUCCCCGGGACACUCCUGGAUGCUCUGCAGGUGGAGGACCUGGCCAGGAUGCUGAGCUUCUCGGUGAUGCACGUGGCUGCAGUGCUAGACGUGAGUGGGUGAUACGCAGGUAGUAUAGGUGAUGCGUCGCUGGCAUGGGUGACAUACGCAUCACAGUGGUGAAAGGGGUGACAGCAGGUGACAAGUGGGUGACACAGAUGCCACCUACUGCCACUCUCCUCUCUGCAUGCCAACCUGCCCAGCACAUGGGGGACACCCAUAUCACCCUCAGGUCCCUCCAGCCUGUCUCCAGUGGUAUCAGCCUGCUCCUGUGUCCCUGGGUGCAGGGGCUACAGCGCAUCCAGACACCCUGGGUCCAGGGGUGAUGGGGGAAGGGGUAUGCCCUCCUUGCAUCUCUAGGAUGCCUGGAUCCUCCAGAUAUGAACUGAGGAGCUUUGGGGAGAGGGGUUCCCUGUACUCUGAGGUCCCCAGGCCCAUGUCAAGGCUGUUUAGAGGGCAGGAGGCAGAUGGAUGUCUGGAUCUCUCAGAUGCCUUAGGUCCCCUGGACAGAAGCUGAGGUGAUUUGAAGGAGAGGGCAAACCUGGACACCUAGAUUCCUUGGAUAUAAGUGGAGCCAUGCAUGUUAGCACCCUGGUCACCUGGGUGCCUCAGAAACAGAAAACAGGGUAAACUGGACAUGAGACACAGAUUCAGAAAAGGGUUUAGGUUGGAAGGCAAUUCUGGAGGUCAUCUGAUCCAAGCCUCCUGCUCAAACAGGGCCACAGAGAGCCAGUUGGCCAGGACCAUGUCCAGACAGCUUUUGAAUAUCUCCAAGGUGGGAGACUCCACAACCUCUCUGGGCAGCCUGUGCCAGUGCUUAGUCACCUUCAUAGUGAAAAAAGUGUUUCCCAAGGCUCAGAGGGAACCUGUUAUGCUUCAGUUUGAUCCCAGUGCCUCUCAUCGUGGCACUGGGCAUCACUGAAAAGUGCCUGGCUCCAUCUUCUUUGCACCCUCCACUCAAGUAUUUAUAUACACUGAUAAGAUCCCCCCCUAGGCUAUCACAGUCCCAGCUAUCUCAACCUUUCUUCUUAGGAGAGAUGCUACAGUCUCUUCAUCAUGUUUGUGGUCCCACUCAGGUGCUUUCGCCGCUCCUCCCACUUCUGUGUCACCUGCGAAGUGGCAAAGGUGGCAUGUCCCACCACAGUAUCAUAGAAUGGUUUGGGUUGGAGGCCACCUUAAAGAUCAUCUAGUUCUAGCCCUGUUCCCACUAGACCAGGUUGCUCAAAGCCCCAUGCAACUUGGCCUUGAAUGCUUCCAGGGAUGAGGCAUCCACAGCUUCUCUGGGCAACCUGUGCCAGUGCCUCACCACCCUCAGGGUAAAGAAUUCAUUCAGAAUUUGUCCAGAAUCAUCCAGAUAAUUAAUGAAGAUGUUAAAAAGACUGGAGACAGUGUUGAUCCCUGAUCUACACAGCUAGUUACUAGCUUCCAAUUAGACUUUCAGUUGCAGAUCACAACCCUCAUGGUCCUUCUGUUCAUCCAUUUUUCUACCAACAUCAGUUUCUCCAUGUCUAAGCCAUGCAUUGUCAGCAUCUCUAUGAGGAUGUUAUGGGAGACGGUAUGAAAAGCCUUACGUGUGGAGGUACACAUGUAAUACACGCCCCUUCAGCACCAAGCUAGUCUCCUCAUUGUAAUGGGCUAUCAGUUUGGUUAAGCCUGAUUUCCCCUUGGUAAAUGCAUGCUGAGUACUCCCAACUGCCUUCUCCUUCAUGUGUUUGGAAGUGGCUUCCAGGAGAGUUUUCUCCCAUCACCUUUCUGUGGAUAGUGGGGCUGGCAGGCCUGUUAUUUCCCUGGAUCUUUCUUUCCUCUUUCCUAUCUUGAAGAUAGAACUGACAUUUGCUCACUUCCAACCUUCAGAAACUUGUCCCAGCUGCUAUAAGCUGGUCUCUUCAGUAAAGACUGAGGCAAAGAGGGCUUUGAGCAGGGAGGGACAAAAAGCGAGGCUUCUGCAAGAACAUAAACAGCAAAAGAAAGACUAAGAAAAACAUUGGCCUGGGACUGAAUGGGACUGGGGAAUGAGUGACAAGCAACAAGAAAAAGGCUGAAGUACUCAAUACCUUCUUUUGCUGUUUAUGCUGUUUGUUGUGAUGCCUUCACAUCAGCUAUUAACCUUUCAUGCAAAUAAAGUUUUUCUCUUGGACCUGCAAUGAUUGCAUUCCAUUGAUCAUGACUUAUUUCACAUUGCUCUGAGCUGCUGUUAUAGUUUCCCUAGCUCAUUUUGUAAAGUCCUUACUUCUGUUUCUAAAUCUCGUACUUUUCCAACUUCCAUCUCUAGUUGUGAGGCUUGUAAACAGGCUUUGUGGGCUUCUAAGAUCUUCCUCUCUUCUGAUUACGAUGUUUUCUUGUCCUCUUGUCCUGCUAAUUUAGGAGUUUCCUACUCCCCUCGUUUCUUGAUUUCUUUUUGUAACUUCUUUAUCUCUUCAUUAUUAUUAUUAUUAUUAUUAUUUUAUUAUUUUUUAGGAUAUUCUGUGUGAGUCACAUAAGCUAUAUUAGAGUGUCCACAUGGCACAUGGCUUCUUUUUUACUGGAUUUGAAUUUUGCCCAUUUGCAAUGCCUAACCUAAGCUUCACAGUCUGCAGAGGUGGCAUCUGCUACUUUGAAACAGCAGAUCCUCCAAGAUCAAUUUUCUCCUGUUAAAUCACCCGCUUGUGGAAUUCGGUAACAUCCUUUUCCUCAGUGACAUAUUUAUUUAGUGUGAGCUGUGAGGUCUGUUUUAUCUUUUGCACUUCCCACACUGCCUUUGCACAAACAAACUCUAUGAAGAGUUUUGUUGUGGGCUAACUUAUACGGAGUUUUAAGUGUGCUUUUUGUAAGAACUAAUUCCACAUUUGCUUUCCUUCAGAGUUCAGUUGAUUCUGAGCAUCCAGAGAGACAGACAGCAAGGUGCACUUCUGGUCAUCUCAUUUGCCAUCUUUACAAGCCCUUCACUUUUAUUUCAGGUUUUGUCUCUCAGUUUUGGGGCAACAGGACAAACUUGGGGUGUGGCUGUUCCUCAGGGCAUAUUCCCAGACAAAAUACUGUUUGAGUCCAACCAAGUGUGUGUCAGGAGCUAUUCCUGAAGUCAGCCAACCAAAUAUUAAAUCAACAAAGUUUCAUUUAUUGAGGAAUGUCUGUGUGCAGCAGCAAGGGCUGCCUUCAGUCCAACAUUCUACCUAUAGUGCAGCUCCUUUACUAUAUAGGGGCAGGAGUAUUUCAUGCUGCUGAUUUACUGCCAUCCAUCCAGGAGCUAUGAAUGACUCAGACAUCUGCCUUGGAAUAGUCUAUUUCCAGAUGCCCAGUGAAGUUUGGGAUGCGUCUCACCAGAUGGUGAAGGGGUAAGGUUACUCAAAAACACAGAAUAAGCACAGUAAUUGUCACUUUUCCUGGCACAUAAAUAUUUAUUUAUUCAGCAAUCUUGCCAAACCUGGAUAAGCUCAAACCCCCCAAUAAAAACAACCUAUUUGUCAAGCAAGCAGGAAUAGGAAAAUUCACAGAAGAGAGAAUUUUGACUCCAGCACUCCUACACUGAAUGCAGGUGAGAGAUGUACAUAAAAAAAUUACAAAUGUAUCGCCUGUACCUUGCCUACAUUCUCCAUCAGACUAUUACACGUAGGUCUGUCAUGCAUGUCAAAGAGCCACUUCACAGAGAAAGUGCAAAAAUGAAACUGAUUUGGAGAAUUUAGUUCAAAUGGUGCCUACACAUUUGAUUUCUAUAAUGUUAAAUGGUGCCUUCAAAUUUGGGUUCUAUAAUGUCAAGGAUAGAAACUGCACAGACAAAGGUCCGAGUGUGCAAUGAAACACACACAAAUCAUGAUAUUCAGAUAUUCAUCAGAGACUAUAUCUACAGGAAUUCCUCUGGGGUCCGCCAGCACCUGGAAGAUUUUUCCAGUUACGGUCCAGUUACAGAGGAACUUAUGGCACAGAUGACUGAAUGAAGACAGAAGUUUCUGAGAGCGUUAGGAAAAAAGAAAGAAAGUGAGACAGCAAGCUUUCUAAUAUGAGUAAAGUGGGGAGAACUAUGCCCUAAGUUUUGUGCUGUACAUGGACCACUCUUCCUGGGCUGACAGCUCUCCAUCCGUAGGUGAUUCAUCAUGACACACAAAAUUAUGGCUAUAAAAACCUCAGAGACAAACCAAGGAAGUUUUAUUACCAGAUAAACAAUCGCAAGAAUCCCAAAACUUUGAGGGAUGAGGGUCGUGUGUGUCUUUCCCCCCACUCUCGCCCCGCUCCCCUCCCAUCUUCCCAUUUUGUAAAACAUCACAACAAAACCAAGCAUCUUCAGGAACUUUGAAGAAAACUGGGAGAUUUCCCAAACCUUUUCCCAUCCAUGUUAAACCAAAACUUGGAUUCACUGGACCAAAUCCUGACAUUUUGCUCAGUUGUCCAGCUGUUCCAGCUCAUCCAUGUCAUCUGGGUCAAGCCUCUUGAUCUGGGUCUCUGAAGAAAGAAAACAAAUGUCAGUGCCUGCCAAGUACAGCCAGGCACCAGCCUGUGCAGGAGUUAGCAAAGGCAUAGCACUGCUGCUCGGGGGCUGCUAGUAGUGGCAAACCCUGGCAGCCAUGCCCAGGACUCUCGGCUCUGCCUUCCACAGAUGACAUAAAACAAGCUGUGAGCUGUUCAGCACGUGACGGAGGUGAGAGGUUAGAAACCUGCCCAGCUGUUUGCAUCAAACCCAGUUGAGUAGAGGUAUAGGUAGAAGUGACAGAUUCCAGUUAUCUCAGGACCAACUGGCCACCUCUGGGAUACUGCUUCCUGGCUCAGUGCACGUGCUAACCUCGCUCUGGGCUGAAAAGCUACCCAAAGUGCUCAGCAUGGCAUUUCCACACUGCGGAGUUCAAAAGAUAAUCAAACUUUGAGAGAGCACAACAGACACAAACCUGACCGACAAAUGGUAAGAGACGUACAUAGUGAUGGGAACCCAAACUGGUCAGUCACACUGACUGAUGGAGCUCAGAAUGUUUAUUCCACAGAGGUUAUCCGAUCAAGGACCUUGGCAACUGGGCAACGUGGGAAAAGGGGGAAACAAGCAACAAAACACCUGACACAGACCUGACAAACCCAAUGAGACAAUGACGAGAAACUAACCUCACCACUCACACUAAUCGGUGGGCUAUUGAGAAAUUACAGGUGCCACUUCCCAGAAGAACCACCUGCACUUUACAGCUGGUAAGGCUGUGAGCCAGAGGGACCUGGACUGGAAGGGGUGUGGGAACUGGGAGGGCUGUACAAACCCAUGAUGAGACGUGCAGGAGGAAAGGGAGGUGGGAGGUGCAAAGAGGGGGUAAGCAGGAAAGGGCACAGAAGCGGCCACUUGCAUGUGAAAUGGGGCUAGUCGGUGUGCUUCUUUGGUUUAGCCCCAACACUGAUCGCCACGGUCUGUCUUGUAGUCUUAUGCCUACUUAAAUCUUUUCCCACUUCUGUCUUUCUGUGAUCUCACACUCAAUCCCUGGUAUGUGUGUGUGUGUGUGUACGUGCGUGCAUACAGCAGUACCUUCUCACCAGCUACUGCUGAGACCUGUGCGUGAAUGAAAACUGGUGCCAACUCCUGCAGUCAGACAGGGACAAGGCUGCCCCUGGCCUCGGCUGCCACCUACUGGAGCCACUGCAGGGGUCUCACUGCAGAUACUGCAGCAAGCACGAUUCUUCAGCUCCCAGCCACUGGGCUGGGGAUGCUGUGCAUCCAAAAAAACAUCUGUUGGGGGGGCACUGGCGUGACUGUGACUGUGUGUGUGUGUACAUGAUGAAUUCGAAGUGACAGCUGCUGGAGGCAGAGGUGAGCAUCUGUACCUUCUACAGACUGUGUGGGUAUGGAGGGUGUGUGUGUGUGUGUAUUCACCUGAAAACUUCAGCCUGGGUCACCUAGUGACUGCGGGGGCCCUCAGGCCCAGGCCAGGGUAUCAGGUGCAUGGGUGGAGUCCGUGCGAGUACCAGGCUGGACCAGCCAGCAAGUAGGGGACUUGUCAGAGGGCAAGGGUCUGGUCAGGGACACUAGGAGAAUAGAGGGGCUGGGAUGGUGCUUGCUGACCCACAAACACCUGUGUGUGUUUGGACCUGGAAGUGCAUGUGUGUGCUUGCACUAGUGACUCUCUGCCAGCCAACGAGGAGAAGGGGAUUUGUGUGUGCUUGUGUGUCUGUGUCUGUAUAUUUGUGUGUCUGUGCGUGUUGGUCUCAGGGACAUGUGUUCUGUGACACUGUUGAUUGAGCCUGGGUUAAAGGGUAAAGUGGCAGACGCAUCCCUCAGCUUGUGCAGAGACCCCAGGUGCCCAGGCACCAGGCUGGGCUUCAGCAGCUCACAAGGACCGUACUGGUCUGUACUGGCCUGUGCUGUGCUUCAGCAACCAGGCAUGGAGGUCCUGGGCCAGAGCAGCUGCAAGAGGUGGCCACACUCCUGACAUUCCUUAAUGCUUCCCAAUGCACUUCUCAUCCACGUGUACCUCAGCUCUUUGCAGCAUCAGAGCUGGGCACAAGGAUAUUCACGGAAAUGCUCCUCUAUACUGUGCACGAGGUACGUGGUCUGCCUUUCCACCAUGUUGAAGGCAAUGCCCUUCUUCCCAAAGCAGCCCGUUUGCCCAAUGCAGUGCAGGUAGGUCUCAAAAUCCAGCUGCUUCUCCUGAUUAACAGGGAGGCUGAAGUUCACCACUAUGGUGACUUGUGCCACAUCAAUCCCUGAAAGACAGAGAGGUUUCUCGCAACCAGGAUCCGAAGGCAAUCACCCGCGUCCAGAUCGGAGCUAGUCCACUUGCAGUAUAAAGCGGUCAGCCCUGGCUCUGCAGCACACACUACAAUGACAUGUCAAGGCAACAAAAGACCUACAUGUAGAGGCCACGGAGCACAGGUUGUGUCACCAGAAACGAAGCAGCAUCGUGUGUCCCCUGCGAGUUGAUGGGCCAUGGGGCAAAUCAAGGGGAUUCCCACACUGCAGAUGCUGCGAGGGUAUUGCUUUUCAGGAUACAGUACCUCUAGCACAGACGUUUGUGGUGAUGAGAACCUUCUCCUUCCCAUCGCGGAAUCUGAAUCACAUCAGCCCUCUGCACUAUGGUCAGCUCUGCCGUCAGCAUGGUGACCUGGUGCCGAUCCUUGCUCAUCUCCACCGACAGCCAGUCCACACUCCUGCGAGUCUAGAUGCGUGGGAGAGGCAGGAGGAGCUUUUGCAGCAGCUCUGGUGAUACUGGUCUCCACCAGGCAUGGUGCGCUCUCCAGGAAGUCGGUACACACCCAG
Molecule: non-coding RNA, 8364 nt
Organism: Anas platyrhynchos (mallard)
Lineage: Eukaryota; Metazoa; Chordata; Aves; Anseriformes; Anatidae
Source: RefSeq, a predicted model, not a curated record